AGAGUUUGAUCAUGGCUCAGAUUGAACGCUGGCGGCAGGCUUCACACAUGCAAGUCGAACGGUAACAGGGAGAAGCUUGCUUCUUUGCUGACGAGUGGCGGACGGGUGAGUAAUGCUUGGGAAUCUGGCUUAUGGAGGGGGAUAACUACGGGAAACUGUAGCUAAUACCGCGUAAUAUCUUCGGAUUAAAGGGUGGGACUUUCGGGCCACCUGCCAUAAGAUGAGCCCAAGUGGGAUUAGGUAGUUGGUGGGGUAAAGGCCUACCAAGCCGACGAUCUCUAGCUGGUCUGAGAGGAUGACCAGCCACACUGGAACUGAGACACGGUCCAGACUCCUACGGGAGGCAGCAGUGGGGAAUAUUGCACAAUGGGGGGAACCCUGAUGCAGCCAUGCCGCGUGAAUGAAGAAGGCCUUCGGGUUGUAAAGUUCUUUCGGUGAUGAGGAAGGUGUUUGUUUUAAUAGAACAAGCAAUUGACGUUAGUCACAGAAGAAGCACCGGCUAACUCCGUGCCAGCAGCCGCGGUAAUACGGAGGGUGCGAGCGUUAAUCGGAAUGACUGGGCGUAAAGGGCACGCAGGCGGUGACUUAGGUGAGACGUGAAAGCCCCGAGCUUAACUUGGGAAUUGCAUUUCAUACUGGGUCGCUAGAGUAUUUUAGGGAGGGGUAGAAUUCCACGUGUAGCGGUGAAAUGCGUAGAGAUGUGGAGGAAUACCGAAGGCGAAGGCAGCCCCUUGGGAAUAUACUGACGCUCAUGUGCGAAAGCGUGGGGAGCAAACAGGAUUAGAUACCCUGGUAGUCCACGCUGUAAACGCUGUCGAUUUGGGGAUUGGGCUUUAAGCUUGGUGCCCGUAGCU
Molecule: ribosomal RNA, 854 nt
Filed under: uncultured bacterium
Lineage: Bacteria
Description: bacterial SSU rRNA
Rfam family: Bacterial small subunit ribosomal RNA
Source: RNAcentral